ACUUAAAUUGAAGAGUUUGAUCAUGGCUCAGAUUGAACGCUGGCGGCAGGCCUAACACAUGCAAGUCGAGCGGUAGCACAGAGAGCUUGCUCUCGGGUGACGAGCGGCGGACGGGUGAGUAAUGUCUGGGAAACUGCCUGAUGGAGGGGGAUAACUACUGGAAACGGUAGCUAAUA
RNAcentral lists this ribosomal RNA (176 nucleotides) under Klebsiella pneumoniae HE12. Its description in RNAcentral is "partial 16S ribosomal RNA". It matches the Rfam family "Bacterial small subunit ribosomal RNA", at positions 1 to 168 of the family's 1533-position model. The record is from RNAcentral. Lineage: Bacteria; Pseudomonadati; Pseudomonadota; Gammaproteobacteria; Enterobacterales; Enterobacteriaceae.